GCGGCUGUAGUCUAGCAUGGAUUAGGACGCGGGCCCUCCAAGCCUGAGAUCCCGGGUUCAAAUCCCGGCAGCCGCA
This is a non-coding RNA of Acidianus hospitalis W1, 76 nucleotides long. The record is from Rfam. Lineage: Archaea; Thermoproteati; Thermoproteota; Thermoprotei; Sulfolobales; Sulfolobaceae.